UUUUUUUUUUUUUUUUUUUUUUCCUCCAGUUUUUUGAUUUUGCAAUUCACGUGAUUCAUGGCAAACAAAAAGCA
Molecule: non-coding RNA, 74 nt
Filed under: Mucochytrium quahogii
Lineage: Eukaryota; Bigyra; Thraustochytrida; Thraustochytriidae
Source: RNAcentral